AGCGAACGCUGGCGGCAGGCUUAAUACAUGCAAGUCGAGCGGGCGUAGCAAUACGUCAGCGGCAGACGGGUGAGUAACACGUGGGAACGUGCCUUUUGGUUCGGAACAACCCAGGGAAACUUGGGCUAAUACCGGAUAAGCCCUUCGGGGAAGAUUUAUCGCCAAAAGAUCGGCCCGCGUCUGAUUAGCUAGUUGGUGUGGUAACGGCGCACCAAGGCGACGAUCAGUAGCUGGUCNGAGAGGAUGAUCAGCCACAUUGGGACUGAGACACGGCCCAAACUCCUACGGGAGGCAGCAGUGGGGAAUAUUGGACAAUGGGCGCAAGCCUGAUCCAGCCAUGCCGCGUGAGUGAUGAAGCCCUAGGGUUGUAAAGCUCUUUUGUGCGGGAAGAUAAUGACGGUACCGCAAGAAUAA
RNAcentral lists this ribosomal RNA (414 nucleotides) under uncultured bacterium. Its description in RNAcentral is "bacterial SSU rRNA". It matches the Rfam family "Bacterial small subunit ribosomal RNA", at positions 29 to 489 of the family's 1533-position model. The record is from RNAcentral.